UACAUACAAAUAAAGUUGUUCUGC
RNAcentral lists this non-coding RNA (24 nucleotides) under Arabidopsis thaliana (thale cress). Lineage: Eukaryota; Viridiplantae; Streptophyta; Magnoliopsida; Brassicales; Brassicaceae. The record is from RNAcentral.